AAUAAAGUUUUAUUUUAGCUUAAAAGUUUGUUAUUAGUUUAAUUUAUAUGUAAAUUUUUGUGAGGAAUUUUAUUUAUUUUAAUAGUAAAUAUAUUUUGUUUUAUUCGCAGUAAUUGGUAUUAUAAAUUAAGUAAAUUUAGAUAUAGUAAUAUUAUAGAGUAUUGACUAAAUUUGUGCCAGCAGUCGCGGUUAUACAAAUAAUACAAAUAAAUUGUUUUAGUUUGAGUUAAUUUGUUAAUUUAUAAAAUUAAAGUAGAUUUAUUAGGUGAAAUUUUAAAUUUAUGUAAUUUUGUAAAAAUUUUAUUGAAGCUCAGAAAUUUUAUUAAUAAACUAGGAUUAGAUACCCUAUUAUUUAAAGAGUAAUUAAAUAAAACUUAAGUAGUAAUAGAUAAUUUCUUGAAACUUAAAAAUUUUGGCGGUAUUUUAGUCUAUUCAGAGGAACCUGUUCUGUAAUCGAUAAUCCACGAUGGACCUUACUUAAAUUUGUAAUCAGCUUGUAUAUCGUCGUUAUUAAGAAUAUUUUAAAAGAAAGAUAAUUUUCAUAAAAUUUAAAUAAUAAAAUAUCAGAUCAAGGUGUAGUUUAUAUUUAAGUAGAAAUGGGUUACAAUAAAGUUAUUUAUAUGGAUAUAAAUUUGAAAUAGGAUUAUUGAAGGUGGAUUUGGUAGUAAAUUAAUAAAGAUUGAUUUUUUGAUUUUAGCUCUAAAAUAUGUACACAUCGCCCGUCACUCUUAUUAUUAAGGUAAGAUAAGUCGUAACAUAGUAGAUGUACUGGAAAGUGUAUCUAGAAUG
Molecule: non-coding RNA, 789 nt
Filed under: Cephenemyia stimulator
Lineage: Eukaryota; Metazoa; Arthropoda; Insecta; Diptera; Oestridae
Source: RNAcentral